RNAcentral lists this unclassified non-coding RNA (500 nucleotides) under Hevea brasiliensis (rubber tree). The record is from RNAcentral. Lineage: Eukaryota; Viridiplantae; Streptophyta; Magnoliopsida; Malpighiales; Euphorbiaceae.
GUUCACAUCCUGCUCGACAACCGUCACCAACUUCGGUCCCAAUCCCUUCACCAUCCUCAAGAGCUGAUCCCUCUGGUUCACAGUCGAUACACUCUCAUCCGGCAUAUGAUGAAGCUGAAACGCAAAAUUAACUACAAGCGCCUCACCAGGUUGACAAUCCAACAUUGAUGGUGAAACAUCUCCAAUCUUAGCAGCGAUCGCUCGGAACUCAAAUGGGACACGAGCAUCCUCCGCAAACUUUUCUAGACGCUUCCCAAUGACUUCCAAUCCUCCAACGGACCGUUGCACUGAUUCGGGAUCAUCGACUCCAGUUAUCCUCAACCUACGUGGCUUGACUGACCGGGUCGAAAUUGCUUGUAUGAGUGUCAUAUACUGACUUCCUUGGUUGAUGUCAAAGUCGAUAAUGUGAACCCUCUCUUCACCUUUCAACGCCUCAGCAAUUGCUCCAUUUGCUGCCAUAAAACCGAAUUUAAAACACGGACAGAUUUCGAAUAGAACCU